This 530-nucleotide ribosomal RNA is filed under the name Salmonella enterica. RNAcentral's name for it is "partial 23S ribosomal RNA". It matches the Rfam family "Bacterial large subunit ribosomal RNA", at positions 711 to 1219 of the family's 2925-position model. The record is from RNAcentral. Lineage: Bacteria; Pseudomonadati; Pseudomonadota; Gammaproteobacteria; Enterobacterales; Enterobacteriaceae. RNAcentral also lists the same sequence under 3 other names.
AGACCCGAAACCCGGUGAUCUAGCCAUGGGCAGGUUGAAGGUUGGGUAACACUAACUGGAGGACCGAACCGACUAAUGUUGAAAAAUUAGCGGAUGACCUGUGGCUGGGGGUGAAAGGCCAAUCAAACCGGGAGAUAGCUGGUUCUCCCCGAAAGCUAUUUAGGUAGCGCCUCGUGAAUUCAUCUCCGGGGGUAGAGCACUGUUUCGGCUAGGGGGCCAUCCCGGCUUACCAACCCGAUGCAAACUGCGAAUACCGGAGAAUGUUAUCACGGGAGACACACGGCGGGUGCUAACGUCCGUCGUGAAGAGGGAAACAACCCAGACCGCCAGCUAAGGUCCCAAAGUCAUGGUUAAGUGGGAAACGAUGUGGGAAGGCCCAGACAGCCAGGAUGUUGGCUUAGAAGCAGCCAUCAUUUAAAGAAAGCGUAAUAGCUCACUGGUCGAGUCGGCCUGCGCGGAAGAUGUAACGGGGCUAAACCAUGCACCGAAGCUGCGGCAGCGAACGUAUCACCCAAGACAACUUUACGGAG